RNAcentral lists this long non-coding RNA (4780 nucleotides) under Arabidopsis thaliana (thale cress). RNAcentral describes it as "potential natural antisense gene, locus overlaps with AT2G24750 and AT2G24760 (AT2G24755)". Lineage: Eukaryota; Viridiplantae; Streptophyta; Magnoliopsida; Brassicales; Brassicaceae. The record is from RNAcentral.
ACAUUGAAUGCAGAAAAUAAAGCUUCUUUUGCAAUCUCAUCUGCUCUUCGAUUUUUAUCUCUAGGAACAAAACAGAAUCUGAUAAAAUCAAAAGUUAAAGAUAGGGAGAGGAUGUCGUGGAGAAUCCCGUAGAGCUCCUUCGAUUGAAGCUCCAAAUUUAGUGCUUUGAUCAGCUGUUGCGAAUCUGAAGCAAGCGAAAGUUUUUUGUAACCAAGAUCUCUGGCUUGAUGGAUCGCGUGAAGCAUCGCCAGCGCCUCUGCCAUUAACGGAGAUCGAACGUUGGAAGCAGAAGAUCUACCAUGGCGCUCUGUGUUACAGAGGAAAUCAGAGAAGUGCCAACCAAAUCCCGCCUCUUUUGUCUCAGCUUUCCAAGCGGCGUCUGUGAACCCUCGGAUUGUAUCUAAUCCAAUCUCUUCGAUCUGGUACGGGAGUCGUAAUUGAGGAGAUUGGGGUGAUACAAGUUGAGAAGCACACCAUUCCCGAGCUUGGGAAACAGCCUGAGCCACCGCUUCGAAGUUUGUAAUUUGUCUCUUCUCAAAGAUGCGCUUAUUUCGGGAGAUCCAAAUCGUCCAUAGUAUCCAUGGCAAAAGGGGGACGUCUCCGAGUCCUGUAGGAGGCAAAUUGGUCAGGAGCUUCGAAGUUUCUAGACCUUUCCUCAGCGACGUGAUUUGGGAAGAGCAGAAUGAAGUCUUGAAGGGAGAUUUGUCCCAAAUUGAGCUUGCGAAGCUGCAAUGAAAAAACAGAUCUCUCGGAGCCAGUCGAACUCAACAACUGGAGGGUUUAGAAGCGGCCUCUCCUCCCGCAAGUUCGCAACAAGAUAGCCUGUCUUUGCAGAAUAUUCUCCGGACUUGGUAACAACAAUUGAAUUAUCUCUUUAAUCCAGGAGUUAGAAGAAGGACAUAUAAGGUCUGCCACUGUUAGUUCCUGAGAGAACUGAGUUGCUGGUCCCAUUGGGGUGACUGGUUUAGAAAGGGAGAUCCAUGGUUCUUGCCAAAUCUUAGAGUCUUUGCCAGUGCCAAUAGCUCUGCCAAGCUGAGUCUUAAGCAGAUCUCUUCCAAGACAUAUUCCACGCCACCCAUGCGAUGCAUUAUUGGAAACUUUGCAGUCUAGGAAGGAUGAUGAUUGGCAGUAUUUACCAAGGAGAACCUUUGCCAACAUAGAUGAAGGUUUAGUGAGUAGUCUCCAGCUCACUUUGGCUAGUAAAGCAUCAUUGAAACUAGGGAAGAGUCCCACCAGAAACGUGUUAGAGCUGAUUGGAUGCGUUUGCAGAGAGAACCCGGGAGCUUGAAACAUGACAUUGUAUAGGUGGGCAUUGCCACUAGGACUGCUUUUAACAUGGUUGCUUUUCCUGCAGUGGAGAGAAACCUAGAAGACCAGCUCUUAGCUCUCUGUCUUAUGCGGUCGAUGAUGAAAUUAAACAUAUCCUUCUUCUUUCUGCCAAACAGCUCAGGAUUAGCAUAAGGUUCUGACAGCUUUGGACAUCGAAUUUACAGAAGAACAUAGUGUCAUCUGCAAAGAGUAGAUGUUUUAAUCGGGGACUGCCUUUUGCCACUCUUACACCAAACGUUUGUUGGGUUGGCGAACAAGAACAUUUCUCCACGUUAUUGAUGUACGAAUCUCCAUCUGGUCGAUGAAACUCUUUCCACAAAUCAGCAACCUGAUUUUUCUUGAAGAACAAGAAAGUGAAUUUUCCGAGGGUGAAAAGACACAUUAUGAAAGCAACAACAAACAAAAGCCAGAAACUGUCUACACCGAGCUGCCUAGAUGAUGUUGACGGAUUUGGAUCUGGAGUUGUGACUGGAUCCGGGCAAGUUUCAUCUUUAUUUUUGAAAUAUUUGAGAUCAAGAUCCUUUGCUUUGGAUGAUUCCGCCACUUUUAGGAUGGCCCUUGAUACAUCAGCAACCAGUGGUGACCCAAUUGGAAAAACCUGCGAAAAACGAACAUAUGAUCUUAGCAUUUAUUUUAGAGCUAUUCUUAGAACAAUUUCGUUAUGGGAACUCACGAAACCGAAUCCAUCAACGCUAAAGGGUUCUUCAACCAUUUGAUAAUCUUUGCAGUAUUGUCCAAGAAAGAGCCUCAGGUAGGGUACUUCCAUGAAAGCUGCAGAGAUACCGCCUUUCUUUGGUCCUUUUCUCAAAAGCUUGUCGCAAUCUUCCGCGCUAUCAAAGGGUAUGAGGCUGGAUGAAGUGAAACCUGAUUCUUUAAGUUUUCCAAAGAUGAAUGAUGUCCUUGGUUAUCCCACAUUUUCUCCUUUCUCGAGCAAACUUCUCAUGCUGGUUACGGUUGGAUCAAGUUGUCGUGAUGUCAAAAGGGACGCCAAGCUGGCUGUGUAACUUUGAGUCAACACGAGCACAAUAAAGUACCAUGUGAUAACCAGAAGCCUAGCUCCAAAGCUGAACACUCUUUCUCCUGCAAGUUGCAUAUUAAUAGAGUAAGCAUUAAGGAAAGAAGUAUUUUUUUAACACUCACUAUAUGUUGAGAUAUGGAAAGGGAAUUUACUUGGAGCAAAAACCAUGGUAGAAAAGGCAAACCAGAAGAUUGUACUAACUUGGUACUUAGCUGGUCCGCGAAAGUCCGGAUUAAUCCUAUGUUCAAUAACCCAAACAGUAAAACCAAUGAGGAAGAAGAAGAAAAAGGAAGUCAUCCAAAGUUUCCAUGUUAAGGGCUUCAAGAAACUGAUACUGUCUCUUGCCACUUGGUCUUCUACGGGGACAAUCAAUCCCACACCAGAUUUAGUAAAUGGAAUGUGAAGUCGACAUAAGAGGACCUAUUUGCCAAUAUAGUCGUAUCUCCCACAACCGCGUCAUAAUUCUGCGAUAGAGACAAAAAAAUGUAAAAGGAGAUUCAAUUAGGGACCUCACUAGGAUAAUCUCUCUAAAUGGGAGUGUGUUGGGAAUGCAUGGAUGGUCUAACUCACCCCAAGGUAAACUUGGUAGAUUAGAUCGUUGUGAUUUCCGGCUGGUUUACCGUCCGAUGUUUCAAAAGGAAAGAAAUCAUAGGAGAUGUCAUAAGGCAUUUUUUGGAUCACAGCUUCAAAGAAAGCUAUGCAAAAACCUUUGACUUCUUGUGAAUUCGUGGUAGGAUCCAUGGUGACCUCCACAAGAUCGGUGUAACCAGUUCUUUUUGGAACUCCAAUGCGCAACCUCUUCCCGUUCGUUGGGAUCUCCCAUCCUUUGGGAACAUAGUUAGCCUCUCCGGGCCAUAUUAUCUGCUUAAGAUGAUCUUGCCAAGUGGAUAACGCACCCGUGUUUUGCGGCUCUUGGUCUAAUUUCUUCACAAGACCAUUUUCUUCCGUCCAAAAUCCUAUUGACCUUUCUCUGGUUCCAAUCACAUUAACUAUCUCAAACACCCAUGGUUGUAGUUGUCCUUCGACAAAACGGAAAUCUCCUGCAAGUCCUUUCAACCGAACUGUUGUGAGUGUCUUGCGAAGUCUUGGACCGUAUUGAGAAAAACCAAGAGCUUCAAGUUCAGACACAUUCUUUCUGAACUCCACAUUACUAAAAGUCAUGUUAUCUGUUCCAGCUUCUUCAAUAGCUAUUGCCAAUGCGAUGGUAGCAUCAUAAGCCCACAAUCCAUAGACAUUCAGGUCCAUCCCUGGGAACUUCUUCCUCCAACAAGCUCUAAACUUUUCGAGGUCAUUUGAUUUCCGAAUAUAAGUUUUAACACCCAAUACCCCUUCCAUAGCCUCAAUACCCGCCUCAUCUACCAAACUUAACUCAUCGGUUACUCCACUGGUAAGGAUCCAAACAUAUCCUGGUUUCAUCAAACCAAUCUUCUUAAUUUUAGUAAAGACUCUUGAGGCAAGAGAAGAGGGCAUGUGGACGAUAAAAACUCUUGUGGGCAUGGUCAUCAUCUUAGAAAGCUCUAGAGAGAUUUCAUAAUCAGUGGCAUUGAGAGAGAUAACAUAUCUGUAUGAUAUUCGAACGUUAAUCUCUUGUAAUGCAUCAGUAAGAUGUGGCAUAAUACCUUCUCCAAAUGAGUUGUCGAUGUAAACAAGCACGACUUCUCUCCACCCAAACAACUUGAUGAUAGAUUUUAUGGCCUUUACUUGAAAGGAGUCCUCAUAUGUAGCACGGAAAAAGUAUGGACUGCGUAGAGAAGUAAGAAACGGACUUGUUGCAGAGUAAGAAACAAUCGGCACCCGAGAUUUUUGUCCAAUAUCAAUCAUAAAAUGAGCUUGCAUGGAUGUCCAAGGCCCCAAAAUCGCUACCACGUGCUUGUUCUUUAUCAGCUUAAGAGCUGUUACAACAUCAAAACAAAUAAAACAUUGGCUGAGUAGGAGAUAAUAUAGAAACAACAAUGUUUGACUUUAGUAAAACAUGAUACAAAAUAACAUUUUGAGAACUAUAAUUAAUUCAAUAAGCUUAUAGCAAUGAACGCGCGCAACCUACAAUAUAAAUUUCAAAAAAUCUUGUAUCCACUGUCUGUAAAAUAUCUAAGUUUAGGGAAUUCACUCUGAUAAUAGGCUAAAACAAUUUAGGUUUUCACAAACCUAAGAUAGAUCAAGACCUACAACCAAAAUCAAUAAUGAUAAUGGAAACCGAUAGUGAUUUCAAAAGAAAGAAAAGCCAAUAAUAAUGUAAACUUUUUAAAUAUAUAUAUACUCCAUAUGUUCAAAAUAUAAAAUGUUUUAGUUAAAAUCAAGCAUAAUUUUUUUAACAAAACCUCUCAUUUUUUUUGUAUAUAUCAUUAGAUCGACAAGAUCCAAUCCGUAACCAAUCCCUAAUACGAGGGAUAACGAGACUUAGUGGAGUCAAACUCCGGUGAGGUGGAGUCGAAU